RNAcentral lists this transfer RNA (72 nucleotides) under Methanosarcina lacustris Z-7289. Its description in RNAcentral is "tRNA-Thr (GGT) (tRNA-Thr-GGT-1-1)". It matches the Rfam family "tRNA". From Rfam's summary of the family: Transfer RNA (tRNA) molecules are approximately 80 nucleotides in length. Their secondary structure includes four short double-helical elements and three loops (D, anti-codon, and T loops). Lineage: Archaea; Methanobacteriati; Methanobacteriota; Methanomicrobia; Methanosarcinales; Methanosarcinaceae. The record is from RNAcentral.
GCCUUGAUGGCUCAGUGGUAGAGCGCGUCCUUGGUAAGGACGAGGUCGCGGGUUCAAAUCCCGCUCGAGGCU